Schistocerca gregaria is the source of this 483-nucleotide long non-coding RNA. RefSeq lists it as uncharacterized. NCBI's taxonomy places the organism in Eukaryota, Metazoa, Arthropoda, Insecta, Orthoptera, Acrididae. The transcript has 3 exons. The record is from RefSeq and is a predicted model, not a curated record.
UGAGAUACCAGUCUGUAAAAGCCGUUCGUUAUGUUUAUGUUUGCUAGGCUACUUUAAGGUUUCAUAAAAAUCAAUAUUGAUCACUACCGUUACAGGUACAAUCAAUGAACCAGCUUACAGAACUGCUGAACGGGCUCAUCCAAAUGCAGAUGGUAACAACUAAGAUAUGGAAUCAGCUUUCAUCACCCACAGCACUGUCACAGCAUCACAUUCUUUGCUGCUGCCUCCAUUUUGACAAUUUUAAGAAGAAAAGGAAGACAGGUGGUGUAUGGUGGCUGGAGUUCGUAAGCAAGAAACCCUACAUCACAAUGGGUGCUCGCAUGGAGCUGCCAAUGCUGUAUAGAGUGUCAAGGAGGACCUCAGUGUACCCUUUGCUAUUAAAAACCAUGGAGAAACCAGUUAAUGAUAACAAAAGUGUCCAAUAGGAAUUGAUGUAAAAUUUUAGUUUCAGUGUGAGCUUAGUCGCUGCUCAACAUUUGCAAU